RNAcentral lists this transfer RNA (72 nucleotides) under Ailuropoda melanoleuca (giant panda). RNAcentral describes it as "tRNA-Ala (AGC) (tRNA-Ala-AGC-9-1)". It matches the Rfam family "tRNA". Rfam says of the family: Transfer RNA (tRNA) molecules are approximately 80 nucleotides in length. Their secondary structure includes four short double-helical elements and three loops (D, anti-codon, and T loops). Further hydrogen bonds mediate the characteristic L-shaped molecular structure. tRNAs have two regions of fundamental functional importance: the anti-codon, which is responsible for specific mRNA codon recognition, and the 3' end, to which the tRNAs corresponding amino acid is attached (by aminoacyl-tRNA synthetases). tRNAs cope with the degeneracy of the genetic code in two manners: having more than one tRNA (with a specific anti-codon) for a particular amino acid; and 'wobble' base-pairing, i.e. permitting non-standard base-pairing at the 3rd anti-codon position. The record is from Rfam by way of RNAcentral. Lineage: Eukaryota; Metazoa; Chordata; Mammalia; Carnivora; Ursidae.
GGGGGUGUAGCUCAGCGGUAGAGCGCGCGCUUAGCAUGCGCGAGGCCCUAGGUUCGAUCCCCAGCACCUCCA